RNAcentral lists this ribosomal RNA (468 nucleotides) under uncultured bacterium. Its description in RNAcentral is "partial 16S ribosomal RNA". It matches the Rfam family "Bacterial small subunit ribosomal RNA", at positions 28 to 507 of the family's 1533-position model. The record is from RNAcentral.
GACGAACGCUGGCGGCGUGCUUAACACAUGCAAGUCGAACGGAAAGGCUCUAUUACUGUGGGCUGGUAGAGAGGCGAACGGGGGAGUAAGACGAGAGUAACCUGAACUCGACUUUGGGAUAACUUCAGGAAACUGAGGCCACUACCGGAUAGGAGCUACUGCUGCAUAGCGGGGGUUGGAAAGUUUCGGCGGUGUGGGAUGGACGCGCGGCUUAUCAGCUUGUUGGUGGGGUAGGGGAUUACCAAGGCUUUGAGGGGUAGCCGGCCUUAGAGGGUGACCGGCCACCUUGCUCCUGCGGUACGGCCCAGUCUCCUACGUGACGCAGCAGUGGGGAAUAUUGCAGAAUGGGCGGAAGUCUGAUGCAGCAACGCCGCGUUCGUGAUGACGUCUUUCUGGUUGUAAACCUGUUUCGCCUGUGCCGUAGCCUUAUUGACGGUAAUUGGUAAGGAAGCCCCGGCUAACUACGUG